Molecule: long non-coding RNA, 430 nt
Filed under: Setaria viridis
Lineage: Eukaryota; Viridiplantae; Streptophyta; Magnoliopsida; Poales; Poaceae
Description: long non-coding RNA (SVIR_LNC006178)
Source: RNAcentral
GGUGUUCUUCCGAACUCCGGUGUCCCGCCUCGUCUUCUCCGUAGAGAUCUUGCCCUCACCAACCUUAGGUUUCACCGUGGAUCCGUGCACCGGGUCACAGGCUCAAUGUCGUGCUCGUCCGCCGGCGGCAUCCUCCUGAUCCUCCAAAUCGCCAGACGGUCGCAGUAGCGACAUGGCAACCCUCACCAGCCACCAGCGUCGGUGGCCGGAGACCUCGCCUAUCGCAAGAUGGAGGAAGGAGCGUGCGAUCCUCCACCUGCCAAGGAAACACGCAGCGACUUUCUGUACAUCGCAUUCGCGGUUCAAAAACUAGCUAGAGACCCUUUCCCUCUACCGUACGCCCCUCCCAUGCAUCAGCAACUCCAAAAGCUCCUUUAAAAUUACUCCAAAAUCUUAUUUAUGGAAAAAAUAAAAAAAAUUUACCUCCAAC